RNAcentral lists this long non-coding RNA (560 nucleotides) under Nicotiana tabacum (common tobacco). RNAcentral's name for it is "long non-coding RNA (NTAB_LNC008701)". The record is from RNAcentral. Lineage: Eukaryota; Viridiplantae; Streptophyta; Magnoliopsida; Solanales; Solanaceae.
AAACAUGGCUGAUUUGAAUAACCGAAAUGUUGUACGGCAUUUCUAGUACGGUUUUAACGAACGUGGCGGUGAAAUGGCCGUCGUUGUCUUCAUUUGCGAAACCUACUUUACCUCCUUUCAUGUUGGUGAUGUUGAUGUAACCGGAGGUUCCCGGAGCUUCGCCGGUGGCUUGAAACAUGGUGGCGGUUAAGGUACUGCCUUUUGUAAUUUGGUGAAGUUUCUUAGCGCCGAAGUAAUCGGCGAAUACGUGAAGGGAUAGGACGUUUUUGAGUGUGUAAGUAGGGAGGUGUUUUUCGAGGAGUUCGUUCAUGGCGGCAUUGUCGAUGGCGCAGACGGUGAUGGUUUGUCGGCGGUUGAUUUCUGCGGCUAAGUGUGUGACGGUUAAGUAGUGGUUGAAGGUGGAGAAUUCGGGGUGUUUGGCGAGGAUUUUAGUGAUGUUGUGAGCGGAGGUGGUGGCGGAGAAGAGUAGGAGGAGGAGGAGAGAGAGGGAGAGUGGUGCCGCCGGCGAGAACUUCAUUUUUGCCGGCGAAAGAAGAGAGAUGAAGAUCUGAAGAGAAGAG